UAUAAAUAUGCUAACAAUAGUGCAGUGUAAUAUACAAGUGGCAUGGUAUGUCAAGAAAUUCUAAUAUACAGGAGGACAAAUGAUUCUGUGAAGGAGAUUUACAAGCUGACCACGUGAACAAAAGCAACUGGUUGCAAGAAGCCUUCAACUAGGUUAACUGUGAUGGAAAUCAUCACUCAAAAAAGACAACCUGAGAGCUUUUCCGCCAACAAACAACUGAUGCACACAUAUUAUAGAUAUAUAACAGACUGUUCUCAUUCAAAAGAUGAAUGAUACUUUUUACUCAUGAAGAUUAUAUCAAACUCCAGGUGUUGGCCCUUGUAGUAUUGAGCUUAAUCAUCUUCAGGCUCUACCGAAAAAUCUGGCUCUUCAGGCUUUUGCAACUUGGGCAUCUCUGCAUCCUUGAUCUUCUGAACCCCUUUCCUUGUGUUUGCAGCAAAUCUUGAAGCCAGUAUAGUGACACCUAGAUUCUGUUUUACUUGUGCGGUGUUUGAAUUCACCAAACUGCGGUGCUCUUCUUCCUCGUGUUCCUCCAUUUGAUAUAUUGCUUGUUCAUCAAUGAAGGACUUGUAUUCCCUCAAGCUAAGACUACUUGCCAAUGCUCUCUUCUUGAACCGGCGCCAAGCAGCCUGAAUGAAACAAGCAGCCCACGUCCUCCAAUGGUAAGAGUAGAAACGGAAUGUAUGCUGUAACUUCUUGCUGUGGAGACGUCGAAACUGAUUUGCGACAAAUUUAAGAUCCUCUGCUCUAAGUUCAAAGGCUUCAACUUCAACAAGAGCUUUAACUGUUCUCGUAGAAGAAGGCAAGUUGAGAGUAGAUUUUGGAAGCAAUGCCCAAGCAAGUAACUCUUCUCCACAGAAAUCACCAGGCUUUAAGGUAAUAGAGUUAAAGAAACCAGUUCUGCCCCCAUUUGUGGUUGAGCUUUCAAGUCUCCCUCUGAUGAUAAAAAGCAUCUCGGUAACUGGAUCUCCUUCUCUGACAAUGUAUGUGCCUUGAGUACUCAAGGAUGAUACCAAUCGCUCGCAUAUUGCAUCAAGUAGUUGAUCAUCCAUUUGUGAGAAAAAGGGAACCUGUAAUUGGUAGAGAAAGUCAUUACAUGGUGUGUGUGUGUCAUAAACUACAAUAAACUAUUAUAGUUCAA
Molecule: long non-coding RNA, 1141 nt
Filed under: Medicago truncatula (barrel medic)
Lineage: Eukaryota; Viridiplantae; Streptophyta; Magnoliopsida; Fabales; Fabaceae
Description: lncRNA gene19384
Source: RNAcentral